GAUCCUGGCUCACAACGAACGCUGGCGGCAGGCUUAACACAUGCAAGUUGAACGUGAUUUGUUGGGUGCUUGCACCGAGCAAUGAAAGUAGCGCACUGGUGAGUAACACGUGGGAACGUACCUUUUGGUGGGGAACAACAGUUGGAAACGACUGCUAAUACCGCAUAAGCCCUGAGGGGGAAAGAUUUAUCGCCGAAAGAACGGCCCGCGGAAGAUUAGGUAGUUGGUGGGGUAACGGCCUACCAAGCCGACGAUCUAUAG
This 261-nucleotide ribosomal RNA is filed under the name uncultured bacterium. RNAcentral describes it as "partial 16S ribosomal RNA". It matches the Rfam family "Bacterial small subunit ribosomal RNA", at positions 15 to 286 of the family's 1533-position model. The record is from RNAcentral.